GACGAACGCUGGCGGCGUGCUUAGCACAUGCAAGUCGAACGGAAAGGCCCUGCUUUUGUGGGGUGCUCAAGUGGCGAACGGGUGAGUAACACGUGAGUAACCUGCCCUUGACUUUGGGAUAACUUCAGGAAACUGGGGCUAAUACCGGAUAGGAGCUCCUGCUGCAUGGUGGGGGUUGGAAAGUUUCGGCGGUUGGGGAUGGACUCGCGGCUUAUCAGCUUGUUGGUGGGGUAGUGGCUUACCAAGGCUUUGACGGGUAGCCGGCCUGAGAGGGUGACCGGCCACAUUGGGACUGAGAUACGGCCCGGACUCCUACGGGAGGCAGCAGUGGGGAAUAUUGCACAAUGGGCGGAAGCCUGAUGCAGCAACGCCGCGUGCGGGAUGACGGCCUUCGGGUUGUAAACCGCUUUCGCCUGUGACGAAGCGUGAGUGACGGUAAUGGGUAAAGAAGCACCGGCUAACUACGUG
Molecule: ribosomal RNA, 468 nt
Filed under: uncultured bacterium
Lineage: Bacteria
Description: partial 16S ribosomal RNA
Rfam family: Bacterial small subunit ribosomal RNA
Source: RNAcentral